AAGUCGGAUAACGAGCGCAACCCUUACCCUUAUUUGCCAGCGAUUAGGUCGGGAACUAUAAGGGGACUGCCGGUGAUAAACCGGAGGAAGGUGAGGACGACGUCAAGUCAUCAUGGCCCUUACGUAUAGGGCUACAUACGUGCUACAAUGGGGAAUACAGACGGACGCUAAGCCGCGAGGUGGUGCUAAUCCUAGAAAAUUCUUCGUAGUCCGGAUUGGAGUCUGCAACUCGACUCCAUGAAGUCGGAAUCGCUAGUAAUCGCGAAUCAGCAUGUCGCGGUGAAUACGUUCUCGAGUCUU
Molecule: ribosomal RNA, 300 nt
Filed under: uncultured bacterium
Lineage: Bacteria
Description: bacterial SSU rRNA
Rfam family: Bacterial small subunit ribosomal RNA
Source: RNAcentral